RNAcentral lists this ribosomal RNA (484 nucleotides) under uncultured bacterium. RNAcentral's name for it is "partial 16S ribosomal RNA". It matches the Rfam family "Bacterial small subunit ribosomal RNA", at positions 30 to 507 of the family's 1533-position model. The record is from RNAcentral.
AUUGAACGCUGGCGGCAGGCCUAACACAUGCAAGUCGAGCGGAUGAAGGGAGCUUGCUCCUGGAUUCAGCGGCGGACGGGUGAGUAAUGCCUAGGAAUCUGCCUGGUAGUGGGGGAUAACGUCCGGAAACGGGCGCUAAUACCGCAUACGUCCUGAGGGAGAAAGUGGGGGAUCUUCGGACCUCACGCUAUCAGAUGAGCCUAGGUCGGAUUAGCUAGUUGGUGGGGUAAAGGCCUACCAAGGCGACGAUCCGUAACUGGUCUGAGAGGAUGAUCAGUCACACUGGAACUGAGACACGGUCCAGACUCCUACGGUAGGCAGCAGUGGGGAAUAUUGGACAAUGGGCGAAAGCCUGAUCCAGCCAUGCCGCGUGUGUGAAGAAGGUCUUCGGAUUGUAAAGCACUUUAAGUUGGGAGGAAGGGCAGUAAGUUAAUACCUUGCUGUUUUGACGUUACCAACAGAAUAAGCACCGGCUAACUUCGUG